AUUGAACGCUGGCGGCAUGCUUUACACAUGCAAGUCGAACGGUAACAGGCCUUCGGGUGCUGACGAGUGGCGAACGGGUGAGUAAUGCAUCGGAACGUGCCCAAUCGUGGGGGAUAACGUAGCGAAAGUUACGCUAAUACCGCAUAAGCCCUGAGGGGGAAAGUGGGGGACCGCAAGGCCUCACGCGAAUGGAGCGGCUGAUGUCAGAUUAGCUAGUUGGUGGGGGUAAAGGCUCACCAAGGCGACGAUCUGUAGCGGGUCUGAGAGGAUGAUCCGCCACACUGGGACUGAGACACGGCCCAGACUCCUACGGGAGGCAGCAGUGGGGAAUUUUGGACAAUGGGCGCAAGCCUGAUCCAGCCAUGCCGCGUGCGGGACGAAGGCCUCGGUUGUAA
Molecule: ribosomal RNA, 395 nt
Filed under: uncultured bacterium
Lineage: Bacteria
Description: bacterial SSU rRNA
Rfam family: Bacterial small subunit ribosomal RNA
Source: RNAcentral